GGGGAAUAUUGGACAAUGGGCGCAAGCCUGAUCCAGCCAUGCCGCGUGAGUGAUGAAGGCCCUAGGGUUGUAAAGCUCUUUCACCGGUGAAGAUAAUGACGGUAACCGGAGAAGAAGCCCCGGCUAACUUCGUGCCAGCAGCCGCGGUAAUACGAAGGGGGCUAGCGUUGUUCGGAAUUACUGGGCGUAAAGCGCACGUAGGCGAAUCGGUCAGUUAGGGGUGAAAUUCCAGGGCUCAACCCUGGAACUGCCUCUAAUACUGCCGAUCUAGAGUUCGAGAGAGGUGAGUGGAAUUCCGAGUGUAGAGGUGAAAUUCGUAGAUAUUCGGAGGAACACCAGUGGCGAAGGCGGCUCACUGGCUCGAUACUGACGCUGAGGUGCGAAAGCGUGGGGAGCAAAC
RNAcentral lists this ribosomal RNA (400 nucleotides) under uncultured bacterium. RNAcentral describes it as "bacterial SSU rRNA". It matches the Rfam family "Bacterial small subunit ribosomal RNA", at positions 356 to 773 of the family's 1533-position model. The record is from RNAcentral.